AUCCUGGCUCAGAUUGAACGCUGGCGGAAUGCUUUACACAUGCAAGUCGAACGGCAGCACGGGGCAACCUGGUGGCGAGUGGCGAACGGGUGAGUAAUACAUCGGAACGUGCCCAGUCGUGGGGGAUAACGUAGCGAAAGCUACGCUAAUACCGCAUACGAUCUACGGAUGAAAGCGGGGGACUCGCAAGAGCCUCGCGCGAUUGGAGCGGCCGAUGGCAGAUUAGGUAGUUGGUGGGGUAAAGGCUCACCAAGCCUGCGAUCUGUAGCUGGUCUGAGAGGACGACCAGCCACACUGGAACUGAGACACGGUCCAGACUCCUACGGGAGGCAGCAGUGGGGAAUUUUGGACAAUGGGCGCAAGCCUGAUCCAGCCAUUCCGCGUGCAGGAUGAAGGCCUUCGGGUUGUAAACUGCUUUUGUACGGAACGAAAAGGUUUUCUCUAAUACAGAGGGCUCAUGACGGUACCGUAAGAAUAAGCACCGGCUAACUACGUG
Molecule: ribosomal RNA, 496 nt
Filed under: uncultured bacterium
Lineage: Bacteria
Description: bacterial SSU rRNA
Rfam family: Bacterial small subunit ribosomal RNA
Source: RNAcentral